GGCUCGCGGCGAGGAGGUCUGCUUCCGAGGCGGCUGAAGAGGUUUGGUAGUGGGCCCAGCGGGUGGCCCGGGUCACCGCCCGCUCUUCGGCGGCCAUCUUGCCCGCGCCCGUCUCCCGCGGCGGGGGGGGCGGCGUACAGGCCGGAAACGUCUGUGUGGCGACACGCCACCUCCUCAGGGACAUAGCAAGCUUCUCAAGACAUGGUUAAGAAGCUUCCUUUCUUUGUGAGAAUCUAGUGAAUGGACCUGACUGGACUUUUUAAGCCCAUCAAUAAACAUGAGCGGUACCAAGCCUGAUAUUUUGUGGGCACCACACCAGGUUGAUAGAUUCGUUGUAUGUGACUCAGAGCUGAGCCUUUAUCAUGUGGAAUCGGCUGUGAAUUCAGAACUCAAAGCUGGAUCAUUACGUUUAUCUGAAGACUCUGCAGCUACAUUACUGUCAAUAAACUCAGAUACACCCUAUAUGAAAUGUGUUGCGUGGUAUCUCAAUUAUGAUCCUGAGUGUCUCCUAGCAGUUGGACAAGCAAAUGGUCGAGUUGUACUUACAAGUCUUGGUCAAGAUCAUAACUCUAAGUUUAAAGAUUUGAUAGGAAAAGAAUUUGUUCCAAAACAUGCUCGACAAUGCAAUACGCUUGCGUGGAAUCCACUGGAUAGUAACUGGCUUGCUGCUGGUCUAGACAAACACAGAGCUGACUUUUCAGUUCUGAUAUGGGAUAUCUGCAGCAAAUAUACUCCUGAUAUUGUUCCCAUGGAAAAAGUGAGACUUUCAGCAGGUGAAGCUGAAACAACAUUAUUAGUAACAAAACCACUGUAUGAGUUAGGGCAGAAUGAUGCUUGUCUAUCUCUUUGUUGGCUUCCACGAGACCAGAAGCUUCUUCUUGCUGGCAUGCAUCGUAACCUAGCCAUAUUUGAUCUUCGGAACACAAGCCAGAAGAUGUUUGUAAAUACAAAAGCUGUUCAAGGAGUGACAGUGGACCCUUACUUCCAUGAUCGUGUUGCUUCCUUCUAUGAAGGUCAGGUUGCAAUAUGGGAUCUUAGAAAAUUUGAGAAGCCAGUUUUGACUUUGACUGAACAACCAAAGCCCUUAACAAAAGUAGCAUGGUGUCCAACUAGGACAGGCCUGCUUGCUACUUUAACAAGGGAUAGUAAUAUUAUUAGGCUGUAUGAUAUGCAGCACACACCCACUCCCAUUGGGGAUGAAACUGAGCCCACAAUAAUUGAAAGAAGUGUGCAACCUUGUGACAAUUACAUUGCUUCCUUUGCAUGGCACCCAACGAGUCAAAAUCGAAUGAUAGUUGUGACUCCCAACCGAACAAUGUCUGACUUCACUGUAUUUGAAAGGAUAUCUCUUGCCUGGAGCCCGAUUACAUCUUUAAUGUGGGCUUGUGGUCGCCAUUUGUAUGAGUGUGCAGAAGAAGAAAGUGAUAAUACCUUAGAAAAAGAUAUAGCAACAAAAAUGCGCCUUCGGGCUUUAUCAAGGUAUGGACUUGAUACCGAACAGGUAUGGAGAAACCACAUUUUAGCUGGCAAUGAAGACCCACAGCUCAAGUCACUCUGGUAUACUCUGCACUAUAU
Molecule: long non-coding RNA, 1575 nt
Filed under: Rattus norvegicus (Norway rat)
Lineage: Eukaryota; Metazoa; Chordata; Mammalia; Rodentia; Muridae
Description: long non-coding RNA NONRATT020233
Source: RNAcentral